GUCUGGGAAACUGCCUGAUGAGGGGGAGUAACUACUGGAAACGGUAGCUAAUACCGCAUAACGUCGCAAGACCAAAGAGGGGGACCUUCGGGCCUCUUGCCAUCGGAUGUGCCCAGAUGGGAUUAGCUAGUAGGUGGGGUAACGGCUCACCUAGGCGACGAUCCCUAGCUGGUCUGAGAGGAUGACCAGCCACACUGGAACUGAGACACGGUCCAGACUCCUACGGGAGGCAGCAUG
Molecule: ribosomal RNA, 237 nt
Filed under: uncultured bacterium
Lineage: Bacteria
Description: partial 16S ribosomal RNA
Rfam family: Bacterial small subunit ribosomal RNA
Source: RNAcentral